GAAUCUUCUAAUUUCCUUUAUC
This 22-nucleotide small nuclear RNA is filed under the name Arabidopsis thaliana (thale cress). RNAcentral's name for it is "snRNA_14057". Lineage: Eukaryota; Viridiplantae; Streptophyta; Magnoliopsida; Brassicales; Brassicaceae. The record is from RNAcentral.